UUGAACGCUGGCGGCAGGCCUAACACAUGCAAGUCGAGCGGAUGAAGGGAGCUUGCUCCUGGAUUCAGCGGCGGACGGGUGAGUAAUGCCUAGGAAUCUGCCUGGUAGUGGGGGAUAACGUCCGGAAACGGGCGCUAAUACCGCAUACGUCCUGAGGGAGAAAGUGGGGGAUCUUCGGACCUCACGCUAUCAGAUGAGCCUAGGUCGGAUUAGCUAGUUGGUGGGGUAAAGGCCUACCAAGGCGACGAUCCGUAACUGGUCUGAGAAGAUGAUCAGUCACACUGGAACUGAGACACGGUCCAGACUCCUACGGGAGGCAGCAGUGGGGAAUAUUGGACAAUGGGCGAAAGCCUGAUCCAGCCAUGCCGCGUGUGUGAAGAAGGUCUUCGGAUUGUAAAGCACUUUAAGUUGGGAGGAAGGGCAGUAAGUUAAUACCUUGCUGUUUUGACGUUACCAACAGAAUAAGCACCGGCUAACUUCGUG
Molecule: ribosomal RNA, 483 nt
Filed under: uncultured bacterium
Lineage: Bacteria
Description: partial 16S ribosomal RNA
Rfam family: Bacterial small subunit ribosomal RNA
Source: RNAcentral